AGUGAACGCUGGCGGUAGGCCUAACACAUGCAAGUCGAACGGCAGCACAGUAAGAGCUUGCUCUUACGGGUGGCGAGUGGCGGACGGGUGAGGAAUACAUCGGAAUCUACUUUUUCGUGGGGGAUAACGUAGGGAAACUUACGCUAAUACCGCAUACGACCUGCGGGUGAAAGCGGGGGACCUUCGGACCUUGCGCGAUUGAAUGAGCCGAUGUCGGAUUAGCUAGUUGGCGGGGUAAAGGCCCACCAAGGCGACGAUCCGUAGCUGGUCUGAGAGGAUGAUCAGCCACACUGGAACUGAGACACGGUCCAGACUCCUACGGGAGGCAGCAGUGGGGAAUAUUGGACAAUGGGCGCAAGCCUGAUCCAGCCAUACCGCGUGGGUGAAGAAGGCCUUCGGGUUGUAAAGCCCUUUUGUUGGGAAAGAAAAGCAGCAGGUUAAUACCCCGCUGUUCUGACGGUACCCAAAGAAUAAGCACCGGCUAACUUCGUG
Molecule: ribosomal RNA, 492 nt
Filed under: uncultured bacterium
Lineage: Bacteria
Description: partial 16S ribosomal RNA
Rfam family: Bacterial small subunit ribosomal RNA
Source: RNAcentral